This 469-nucleotide ribosomal RNA is filed under the name uncultured bacterium. Its description in RNAcentral is "partial 16S ribosomal RNA". It matches the Rfam family "Bacterial small subunit ribosomal RNA", at positions 28 to 507 of the family's 1533-position model. The record is from RNAcentral.
GACGAACGCUGGCGGCGUGCUUAACACAUGCAAGUCGAACGGAAAGGCCCUGCUUGCAGGGUGCUCGAGUGGCGAACGGGUGAGUAACACGUGGGUGAUCUGCCCCUUACUUUGGGAUAAGCCUGGGAAACUGGGUCUAAUACUGGAUAGGACCAUGCUGUAGGUGGUGUGGUGGAAAGAUUAGUUUCGGUAAGGGAUGAGCUCGCGGCCUAUCAGCUUGUUGGUGGGGUAAUGGCCUACCAAGGCGUCGACGGGUAGCCGGCCUGAGAGGGUGGACGGCCACAUUGGGACUGAGAUACGGCCCAGACUCCUACGGGAGGCAGCAGUGGGGAAUAUGGCACAAUGGGCGCAAGCCUGAUGCCGCGACGCCGCGUGGGGGAGGACGGCCUUCGGGUUGUAAGCUCCUUUCAGCCAUGACGAAGCCCUUGUGGUGACGGUAGUGGUAGAAGAAGCACCGGCUAACUACGUG